This 4108-nucleotide long non-coding RNA is filed under the name Homo sapiens (human). RNAcentral describes it as "non-protein coding lnc-PERP-2:27". Lineage: Eukaryota; Metazoa; Chordata; Mammalia; Primates; Hominidae. The record is from RNAcentral.
ACAUCCAUGUGGAAAUCGCGGUGAUGGGAACUGGAAAUGAAAUAGGUUCUUUUUCGCAGUUGUUUUUCUGCAGAAAAUCAUCAACUGUGGAGAAGAAGAAGGGAAAUAAGAAAGAAAGAAAACCCUAAAAACCACCCUGGCGCCCGGGCCCGCAGGCCUCGGGCCGGCUCUGAAAAGUUUGGGCUGUGCACGUGAUGAGCGCGUAGGCGGGAGCCCCAGACAGGACCCGGGCGGGCAUUUCGAGAAAAAGCAGCGGUGACAGCCUUUGGUCCCCAUCUCCAUUGUUCCUGCCAGCUCUGGACCCCAGGCUGCAUGAGACAGUUGGCCUGUUUCCUCUCAUCUCUGGCUCCAUGACUUCAAUCCUCCUGCAGCUUCCACUGCCCCUAUCUGGCUCAUGUCUUGCUGUCUGGUGUCAUGAACUGGGAGUGCAGUAAAGAGGAGUGACAAGCCUGAGGGGCCACGUUCAUACCUGCCACUGCCAACUGUCCUGAUGUAACUGCUUUGUCAUCUUGCCUGCCAGGAUUUGUGACAAGGGACCUCAGAUCCUUUACAUGUGUUAUCUGGACUGAAUGGAGAAACCCAAGACCCACCAUGGUGGAGGGACAACUGAAGUCCUUAGUGACCCAUCUAGUUUGGGGUCUCUAUAAUCCUGCUCCUUUGGCUGCCAGCCAUCUCCAUAAAAAAAGAAUUUGAAAGGCUUCCAUUCUUUCAGAGACCUGUUUCCCGGGACUGGCUGCAAGGGAGAGAUGCACUGACCUUCUGCCAGGUAUAGAACUAUUGAAUGGUACAGUUUGAGAUCUUCGAAACCAUCAGGACUGAUCAUUUUCUGGCUACUUUCUACAUAGGAAUCCUAGAGUUCCUUGGAGAGGAUAUGAAGGUUAUUCUCAGGCCAUGCAGAUGGGCAAGAAAGGAUGUGCGUCCAUGGUUCCUCUUCAAAUCCAACCAAAACAGCCUUGCUUCCGUUGGCUUUAUAUAAUACUGCAACUCUUGAUAAUCUGAUUUAACACAAAUUUCCUCAUUGAGUUUCUCCUCAUGAAGAAACGGCCUCAGUGAGGUAAAUCGGAAUGCACAGGAGCACAUAGCAGGUUAGUGCAGACCAGAAAUCAAACCCAGGCUUUCUGACUGCUCAAUAGACCACAAUCUACCAUGCUACCAUGGAAACUUUAAAACAGAUGAAAGUAAAAACAAACAAACAACAACUUAAAAAAACAAAAACAAAAACAAAAGCAAAACCCAGAGCCUCUCUAGGAAAUACCAACGUGCUUUUGCCAAGUGGGGUUUCUCUCACUUCAUAAGAGCAGUAAACACUAAACCAAGGGAAUGUGAAUUUAGAGGUUAGAAAAGAUAACCAGAGAUUUGGCCGUGCGUGGGGCUCAUGCCUGUAAUCCCAGCACUUUGGGAGGCUGAGGCUGGUGGGUUGCCUGAGGUCAGGAGUUUGAGACCAGCCUGGCCAACAUAGUGAAACCCUGUCUCUACUAAAAAUACAAAAAUUAGCUGGGUGUGGUGGCGUGCACCUGUAAUCCCAGCUACUAGGGAGGCUGAGGCAGGAGAAUCGCUUGAACUGGAGAGGUGGAGGUUGCAGUGAGCCGAGAUGGUGCCAUUGCACUCCAGCCCGGGCAAGAAGAUUGAAAUUCCAUCUCAAAAAAAAAAAAAAAAGAAGAAGAAGAAGAAAAGAUGCCAGAGAUUUGGCGGGGUGCCGGGCUCAUGCCUGUAAUCCCAGCACUUUGGGAGGCCAAAUGGACAGAUCACUUAAAGUUAGGAGUUCCAGAAAAGAUGCCAGAGGUUGGGCCUUUACAUUGUUUUGUAAAUUCGUCAAACCUUAAUCUUAUUUAACUUCCCCACCUAUACAAAAAUUAAUGCAGUAAUUGCUUUUUAAGGAAGCAUUCCAAAGGCCAAAUAAUUCAUAUAUGUCAAGUACCCUGGGAUUCAGGAAAGAAAAAUUCUCUAUAGCUCUAAAGCAAGGAUUAUAAUUUGAGGUUUCCUGACAGUUUUUUUUAAGAAAAGAAAUACCAACCUUUCUUUUCUGGGCCAAAUGCCAAGGUAGGUAAUAACCCCUUGCCCAUUUUCUUUCCCCAAGCUGUUUUAACUAGAUAAGAGCUCUGCCUUCAUUUCCUUUUGUGAACUGACUUGGGAUGUUGCCACAUGCCCUUCAACUACUGUCAAUGCUCUAGUUUGCUGAGUGCUUUCCCCUUCAGAAUGGAAAAGGUUUUGGCAUAAAUAUCUAGCUUUCUUCAAGGUACAAAAUGCUUUCCAAGGAGCAGAGGACAGAGGGAACAAACUUUCAUGUUUCCCAAUUGUAUUAGUCUGUUCUCAUGCUGCUAAUAAAGACAUACCCAAGACUGUGUAAUUUAUAAAGGAAAAAGGUUUUACUGACUCACAGUUCCACAUGGCUGGGGAGGCCUCACAAUCAUGGUGGAAGAUGAAGGAAGAGCAAAGGGAUGUCUUCCAUGGCCAGCAAAAAGAGAAUGAAAGCCAAGGGAAGGAGAAAACACCUUAUAAAAUCAUCAGAUCUCAUGAGACUUAUUCACUACCAUGACAACGGUAUGGGUGAACUGCCCCCAUGAUUCAGUUAUCUCCCACCGGGUCCCUCCCACAAAAUGUGGGAAUUAUGGGAGCUACAAUUCAAGAUGAGAUUUGGGUGGGGACAGAGCCAAACCAUAGCACCAAUACUAGAUCCCUCAGCUUCAAGGUGGCUCCAGUGAUCCUAAGAGGAUCAAGGAAGCCCUACCUCCCUGCUUGUCCUGGAUGUCUCUGACACAUGUUAAGGGAAAAGCAUUAAUAAAGUGCUCAAGAAACAAUUGUUCAAUAGGUCAGUCUUAUAGUCAAUACCUCAUCCCAUGCUCUGUCCCCUACUCUUUGAAAAACUGCCCAAAGAAACAAUGGAUCCACGGAGUCACAAAAACAGGGCAUCCAGUGACCCUCCCCAUCUUACCAGCAAUGUGACUUUCCCACAGUAUAACGACAGCAGUGCCCAGAGCCCAAUACAAGCAGGGCUCUACACUGAGACAGAGCUGAGUUCUAGUAGCAACUACCCUCCUUAUAGCAGUGUUAUUUUAGGCAAGUUUCUCAGCUUCUGGAAGGUUCUUUUCUCAGGCUUACAUACUUUUUACCCGAAAAGAUCUUGGAGUCGUCCAUAUCAGCACAAGCAAUCUACAUUAUUAGUUUUUUUAAUGGCUGCACAGCAUUCCAUGAUAUGGCUGUACCAUUACUUAACUAUCGAUGAACAUUUAGGCAGUUUCCAGUCUCUUUCUGCAGGAGCCAAUGCUGCAAUGUGGUGGGUCAUAACUUUUUCUUUUUUUCAAAUGUGGUCUCACUAUUUCUUCCAGGCUGGAGUGUAGUGGUAUGAUCACAGCUCACUGCAGCCUCGAACUCCUGGACUCAAACAAUCCUCCUGUCUCAGCCUCCAGAGCAACUGGGAGUACAGGUGUGUGCCACCAUGCCUGACUAAGUUUUUAAAUUUUUUGUAGAGAUGGGGUCUUGCUAUAUUGACCAGGCUGGUCUUGAACUUCUGGCCUCAAGAAAUCCUCCCACCUGGGCCUCCCAGAGUGCUGGGAUUACAGGAAUGCACCACUGUGCCCAGCCCUAAAUAACUAUUUUUAUUUCCCUUUCUGUAACCGCUCAUCUUUUGUGCAUUUUUCCUUGGGUAUUGGCCUUCUUAUCAAAGUUUAAGAACUGUUUAUAUAUAGGGAUUAACCCUUAGUCUGUUGUAUGAAUUGCAAAUAUACAUGUAUUUUUAUUUGUAUAUGCAAAGUUUGUCUUUUAUCUUUGUAUAUGGGAUAGUUUUCCAAACACAGUUUUAUUUUAUUUUAUUUUUCAUCUUGCAUGUCUUUCCAAAGUACCAAGCAGAGUUUUUUUAAAAGUUGUUUUAUGGCUUCUGGGUUUUUUAAGUCAUAUUUAGAAAGAUCUUUCCCACUCUGAAAUUAAAAAAAUAAAUAAAUAAAAUCUCCCAAUUAAAAAAAAUUUGUGACUUUGUUUUUCAUAUUUAAAUAUUUAUUCCAUCUGGAAUUUAUUUUAUUUUAAGCUGUAAAGUAGAGACCUCAUUUUAUUGUAUUUCUCCAUAUGGCCACCCAGUUGUUACAAUACCAUUUACUAAAUAAUACAUCAAUUG